CGCAUCUGUGCAUGCAGCAUAUCAAUAAGCGGAGGAAAAGGAAACUAACAAGGAUUCCCCUAGUAACGGCGAGUGAAGCGGGAAGAGCUCAAAUUUGGAAAUCUUAAAGGGUUUCCCUUUACGAAUUGUAGUUUAAAGAAGUGUUUUCUGUUGAGGUUUUGGUAAAAGUUCUUUGGAAUAGGACAUCAUAGGAGGGUGAGAAUCCCGUAUUUGACCUUUACUUUCAACUUUGUGAUACACUUUCAAAGAGUCGGAUUGUUUGGGAAUGCAGUCCAAAAUGGGUGGUAAAUUUCAUCUAAAGCUAAAUAUUGGCGAGAGACCGAUAGCGAACAAGUACCGUGAGGGAAAGAUGAAAAGAACUUCGAAAAGAGAGUUAAACAGUACGUGAAAUUGUCAAAAGGGAAGCGUUUGACACCAGUGUUGUUUUUUCUGAAAAUCAAUUAAAGAACUGUUUAUGCUAAGUUGUUUAGACUUUAUCAGCUAACUGUUUAGUUUUGAGCUUUUCUUUAAUGCACUUUUCAGUUAACAAGUCAACAUCAAUUUCUUUUGCUGUAAAAAAGCUUGAGGAAGGUGGCCUGAGAUUCGUCUUAAGUGUCUAUAGCCUCUUGCCUAUGCAGUCGGAGAGAUUGAGGUCUGCAGCGUAGAUCCUUCGGGGCUAAAUGCAUUUGUGCUAAGUUAUAACAUUUUAUAGACAACUUGUUGACUAUGAUUUGUCUUGUAGCUUACUCGCUUAUGUUAUUUUACCUACGCUUAGGAUGUUGACAGCAGUAUAGACUGU
Molecule: ribosomal RNA, 778 nt
Filed under: uncultured Neocallimastigales
Lineage: Eukaryota; Fungi; Neocallimastigomycota; Neocallimastigomycetes; Neocallimastigales
Description: partial large subunit ribosomal RNA
Rfam family: Eukaryotic large subunit ribosomal RNA
Source: RNAcentral